CGGGGUGACGGAGAGAGGACGGUGCGCUGGGGCACCGGGAUCAGGGCUGAGAACUGGACGCCGCCCCGCCGUGCGCCCGCCCGCGCGGUUCGGAGCCCCACGGAGAGAGAAAACCCCUUUAUCACCCUCUUUUAAAGGAGUUUUCUAGAUAGAUUCUGUUAAACCUUAUGCAAAAAAGUAAAAAAAAAAAGAAGAAGAAGAAAGAAAAAGAAAAGAAAAAGAAAGAAACCAACAACCCUGUUUCUAAGAUUUUAAAGCGAUAGGCAAGUCGGAGAAGCUGAGAUUCGUUGGGGGAAAGCGAGAGAGUGCGCUGAGCGACCCCGCGUUUGGAAGACCAGCCCUCCCGCUGGGAAGUUGAGACUGUUGAUUCCUCCAAUUAAUGAAAUGCAUUUGGUGUUAAUCGUAUUUAUUUUACUUUAUGGGAGGGGGAGACGCUAGGAGGGUGCAUUAAAAAAAAAAAAAAAAAAGAUUCUGAAAAGCCUGCAAAGAGGAUCGAAGAGUGGAAACUAUUGUUGGACCGAGUUGGUUUUUGCCACAACAGCGCCACCUUUCGGCAAAGGUCAGUUGAAAUUGAUCCGUGUCCAGUUUUGUUGGUGAAGUGAGUGUGGAAGGAGGAAGGAGGCACAGAAAGUUAGUGGGACUGCAGUGGGAGACGCCGCCGACCCUGUAGGAAAGGGGCCCCAGAAAGUGCUGGCAGAUGCGGGAAUCAUUUCGUCCCCUCCUGGCCUCCUUGAGUGUUGACAAAAGAGGCCACAGGGGGACAUAGACACCCUCCGGGCAUAGUUCUGGCUGAGUGACCUUUGCAAAGCGUGAUCCCAUGUAACCACAGGGCCCCAAACCCUUUAAAAGUGCCAGGAUGGAUUUUCAGCGGGCUUUAUGGCAAUAUCAAUAGAAUUAAAGUUACUUGUAAUUCAGUGAUAAAUGAGAUGUCUCGAGUAAGUAAGAUUAAGUGCAGUGCUAUAAAGUUGUUUAUCUGAAAAGUAAUUCUCAGAAAACCUGACUUCUGACACUUAGUCAUAUAUUAAGCCAGCUUCCUGAACAUUGCACUUGAGAAUGGUCUUACCCUCCCCACAGCAUACUUUACUAUUUAUAACGAGACCUUAGGUGUCUCUCACUAGCUUCCUGCGCUAGAUCAGACCUGUGCUCUUUUCUCUGAUCCUGGCAGCAGCAAACCCAGGAAUCCUUAAUAAGAGACUCCCCAAAAGAUUUGCAGGCACAUCCUAAUCCUAAAAGACCAGCGCUGUUUGGUAUUUUACUGACAACACUUUUUUUUUUUUCAUCAUUACUGCUGAGAAGUUGUCUCUAAGGGUAGUUUUGGUUUUAUAGGAGCAUUUUGUUGAGGUGGAAUAGACUAUGUCUAUUACCAGUUUGGGGAAGAAAGAGUGAAGGUUGUGCCAAUAUUUAUGCAACCUGGUAGAAUUCCCUUGCUUUCUCCCUCUUUAACUAUAUUUUACCUAGCAAUGAAGUUGAGGGAUUACAGUUUAUGUAUUCGGAGGAAAAUCCACGGCUUAAAUUACAUAAACAUUAUGUCAUUUAGUAUUGUCCAUAGCCAUGGUUGUCUAGGUCUUUUUAAAAAAAUCAGUAGCCACAAAUGUCGGAAGUCUAUAUGUUUCAUGUAAAAUAUGAAUGUCAGUGUAUUUAGAAAGAAUUCUUUUUUUGUUGUUCAUGAUUCUUUUAAAAUCCUUUUGCAUCACAUUUUUGUUAAAAAGCUGUAAGGUAUGGUAGAUGCUUCCCCAAAAAAGUAUUUUUGGCCAGGAACACUGAAACUGCUACAUUUAUAAAUAUAUGCAAUAUUUUAUGAACAAAGUUCGCUAAUGACAAAGACCAUGGCAUAUAAAUUCAUGGCUGCAUACCUGAUCGUUGCAUUGUUAUAUAGCAUUUCUAGAAAUUAAAUGCCCAUGUUUGGGAAGCUAUAUGUAUGAUGAUCUGCACAUUUUUUAUGGCUUAUUUUUGUACACUGCUGUCAAGCCAUGAUAUUUUUCUUUCCCUUCUUGCAGAGUCGUUUAUAGUGUCCCCUUUUCUCUUGAAAAAAGAGGAUCAUAAUUAUUUUUUGGAUGUGUAGCAGCAGGGCUCACAGGCUUGUAAGUUCAUUCUCGUUUUUGUCCUUUUUACUUUAUUAUUUAGUGAUUCACAGGGGUGUCUAAACAUUUACAGUUCUCUGUUAGCGGCACUUCUUUUAUAACAAUUGAGCUCUCUCAUUUUAAUUAGUACUAUUCAGGUUUUUGAUUCUCUACAAUUACAGCGGGCCACAUUUCUUUAGACUUCUUUGCUAACAUUGUUUGUUUCACUUCCAUCCAAGCCAAUCUAAUCCAAAUACAAUGUGAACUGUGUUUUCUCAUUGCUUAAUAUCCCUUUGCCAUAUAUACUCUAGUAAUCUCUGUCAAACAAUAUACAGUAAUUUAGAAACCAUGCAUUUGUCAUUAUUGACCAAUUUGAGCCAGUAGCAUUAAAGUUUCUGGAAGCAAUGAAUAUUUACAGAUUUUUGAGGAGGAGUAGGCAUGGGUCGAAUCACGUAGAAUAUUGUGAAACACUCCCAUCAAAAACACGAUUUUAGUUUCAUGUCAGUGCAUACAUAACAUCUUCAUGCAAGAAAGAAAAACCAAACCCUUCUGUUCCUGACCAAAUGACAAAGACUAAAAGCUAAAAGGGAUAUAUUUUUCCUGAUUGUGAGUUAUAGUAACUCCAGUGUUUUAUGUUGGAAUCAGGCAUACAUAAUCCGAAUAGAAUGGGAUGUUUCAAGUAUAGUAUCUGAAGUCUGUUUAUCUAGGAGCUGAUUUUAUGAAGCAGAACUAACCAGUGUCCACUAAAUUUCACAAUGAAACCAACUAAAUUGAUUUGAGAAAGACUUCUUCAGAGUAACCGAAUGAUAAGGCACGCACUGUUCUUAGAUCUAGUGUUAGAGAAAUCCUUUUAACAGUCUUCAGUUAGCCGGGUAAGUAAAUCACAAAUCACUGUUAGCGGAUUCAGGGAAGAAAAUUAAUAGAAUCAGACGAGAUAAUCUGAUAAGGGUAAAAUUGCUGAGGAAACAGUCUUGCCUCAUAUUGGGGGAUGUGAAACAACAGUCUGAUUACUAGGAGUCUUUAUGAAUAGGUGAAUUAUGUGCUAAAUAAUCAUCAGAGUAAUUCAGCAUUUAUUAAUUCUUUUCUCUUUAAGCAAUUCACAGUUGUAAGUUAAAGCCGCCCUCUCUUUGAAGACACAUCUUUUAUAAUUUUUAUUAGAGGUAAUUUAUUAUUUGCAUUACCUGUAUUUACUUCAUAAUUGAACAUUUUGCAUUCAAAUUUAUGUAAUGCAUUAUGCUUGAGAAUAUAUUUCUGCCUGAUUAGCAUAAAUAGUCACUUACCUCAUGAAUUACUAACAAAGUUUAUCUUAAAAUAUAGGUUUUUUAUUAAGUGGAACACAAACAUAUGUACAAUAAAUUCUGAUUUUCCGGCGCAGUUAGAGAACAACUCACAUUUGGUUACGGGGACGCGAGGAGAAGAAGCAAAAUACACACAAAUGAAAUUUGUUAAGUUUCUUUCCAAGGGUAUCAUUCAGGUAGGGGUGUGUAGGGGUGGGGUAGGGGGAAAAGUAAAGGAGAAGGUGUCGUGCUUUUCAUAUACUGUUUGGAUUAUUUGUUGGAUGAUCUUGACAUGAAAUGUGGAUUGUGGAAAAACCUGUAAUUAGAGAGAUCUCUACCUUUGUAGAGGACCUGUGAUAGCAAGUAAAUACCAGUGACAGAGUUUGGGGGUACUGCUUGUUUGUAUUUUUAAUUUGUUUGUUUACUUGUUUUUUGUCUCUGCAGGGUUCUUCCUUAGAACACAAUACACAGCAUUUAAUGAAAUGCUUGUUUGUUUGGCAGGAGAGAUGUGAAAAACCCAGAUGUUCUCUGCAGUGAGAAUUCCGGGGGAGGUGUGGCUGUCUUCUUCCCCACAGCCAUCCCACAAAGACGGCCAGCAUGGCCUGGCAGACAGGCGAGGUUUAAAACAUAGUUUUGUGCACACACGAACGUUGGAGGGAAAGGACUUCUCUUGGUUUUAGGCAAUAGACAGAGAUAUAAGAAGAUGGGGCCUAUUUCCCUGGUCUUGCUAUUCCAAAUCAACAGAUUUCCAGGGUUUUCUUUCUUUCUUUUCUUUUUUUUUUUUUUUCUUCCCUCUUUCCUUUUUCAGAACAUAGAUUUUUCUUUUCCAUCAAUUAGGGAAUGCUUAGGAUUCGAUCUUCCCCUAUCAUCCCUUUUGAUCCUGUUCACAGCUUAUACCAGUGAGGGAAUUUGUCUCAAAAGCAUUCAGCCCUUCAAAGAUUUUUAUUGUGGUGAACGCAGAACUGAUUAAAAAAGAAGAACACACACACACAAAAAAACCCCUCAGGAAUAGAAAAGGAGACCUGCCUGAUAUCGGAACUAUCUUUAUCCAGGCUGUGUCUUUUGUGCAUGAUAACUCAGAGGACGGGCUGGUCGGCCGUGCCAGCCCUGGAAGGUUCUGUUCACCCUCCUUCCUAACCCUGAUGAUGGGUUGAUUCAUGGCUCCUGUUCCAAAGGCAUUUAGCAGCCGUUCGACCUGGGAAGGAAUUGCAGUUCUAGAAGGUAC
Molecule: non-coding RNA, 4562 nt
Organism: Microcebus murinus (gray mouse lemur)
Lineage: Eukaryota; Metazoa; Chordata; Mammalia; Primates; Cheirogaleidae
Source: RefSeq, a predicted model, not a curated record